Long non-coding RNA from Zonotrichia leucophrys gambelii, 849 nucleotides. RefSeq lists it as uncharacterized. Lineage: Eukaryota; Metazoa; Chordata; Aves; Passeriformes; Passerellidae. The transcript is spliced from 2 exons. The record is from RefSeq and is a predicted model, not a curated record.
GGCCGUUUUGUAGCUUGUUACUAGAAUGCUGUAGAAGUCAGGACUUGUAAUGUAGAUAAGAAAUAAUAAACAUCUGAGUCUGAACACAGAACACCGUCUGGGGCGCCUCAACCCUGGCCUUGGCAGAGCAGACACAAAGCCAAGAGCCAGCAGUGAGGGGUGCCCUGGUGUGGGGACACCUCUGGAGAAACAGCAGCUGAGAGCUGGAAAAUCCCCAGGGAAAAGAAAGAAGAAAAAAGGAAGAAAAAAGAAUUUGGACAUCCCUAGACGCUGGUGAAGUGGUUUGGAGCAGAACGUGGAUGCUGCAGACCCAUGAGGAACCGAGGAGGAGAAACGGACAGCGAAAAGUCAGGAGAGUGAACAUGUUUUUCACAAGAGGAAGGAGUGAAUACAGCCUCGAAACUUAAAGAAAGAACAUCUUUGCAGGACACAAACCCGCAAAUAUAAACAGAUUUUGUCCCAUUUCCUUAGAUUCCAGAAGCCAUUUCAAAUAAUAAUACAAAAGAUCCAUCAAGAGACAUAGCAAAUUCUACCAACUGGGCAGAGAUUAGAAGAAAAACAUUAAAGGAAGGACAUUUUGACAUGGCAUCAACAAAAUCAAAGACAACAAAACAUGGCAGACAAAAAAAGAACCACGGUGGACACAAGAAUAAUUCGUUAUUGGUAGAGAGUAGAAAUAAAAUACGUUCUAAGGGUUAAUUGGACAAAAUAGUUUUAAAAUAUCUUGAACCUGUGUGUUUUGUGACUUUUUUGGUGCCUUCUCUUUGUAGGCUAAGUCUGGUAUGUAGACAGCAUGCUGAACUGUUGAUAAAAGAAAAAUAAACAGCCUGAAGACCAAAGAAACCAAAA